Molecule: ribosomal RNA, 584 nt
Filed under: Lynceus brachyurus (holarctic clam shrimp)
Lineage: Eukaryota; Metazoa; Arthropoda; Branchiopoda; Diplostraca; Lynceidae
Description: partial 12S ribosomal RNA
Source: RNAcentral
AGUGUGUGCCAGCCGUCGCGGUUAGACGAUAAAUAUAAGUAUAAAUUUCAUGAUAAAAUUAUUUUAUUAAUUGACCUAAUUAAUUUCAAGGAAGAUUUUAAAGUAAAAUUUAAUUGUUAUUAAUUGAUUAAUUUUGUUGAUUGUAAUAAAUAGUAAAUUACAAUGUUAAACUAGGAUUAGAGACCCUAUUAUAAGUAAAAAAUGUUGUCUUGGGUAGUAUAAAUUUUUAAACCCAAAGAAUUUGGCGGUAUUUUAUCAGAUUAGAGGAACCUGCUAAGUAAUCGAUAGUCCACGUUUUAUCUUGCAUUAAUUUGUUAUCAGUAUGUAUACCUCCGUUGUAAGAAAGAUUUUUAAAAAUUCUUUUAUUAUUAAGAUAUUCAAAUACUUCAGGUCAAGGUGCAGCUUAUGUUAAUGUUGUAGUGGGUUACAAUAUAAUUAAAUAUGGGUUGUUGAUUGAAACAUUAAUUUUUUAAUUGGAUUUAUUAGUAAUUUUAUUUAAGUAAAAUAAAUUGAAUUUUGCCCUAAGAUGUGCACACAUCGCCCGUCGCUCUCUUGUAAAAUAAGAGAUAAGUCGUAACAAAGUA